ACGUAUAAUUCAGAUUCAACAACUUACUUACGAGUAGCUCGAGGUAAGAAAAAGAAAGAGAACGAAAGGAAUUUAAAGCAAAAUAUAACUGAGUGGUUCUUGUAUCGAGUUAAUUAUAGAAUAUUUAUUUCGAUUUCAUUUACUAAAUCCGAAGAGAUCGUCAAACUGAUAAAAGAAGGUAUAAACUGCAAAGAUGUAACACAAAAUUUCAUUCGUGAAGCUCGUUAGAAUUAUUUUAGAGCAGAGGCAGAUCCACUAGUGAAAGGACGGCAUUCCAUGAGCUGUAUCAUCCGGGGGAGAGGGGGCGAGGGGAUAUUGAAAAAAGCUUCCCCGAUCAGAAAUGUAGAAUAAAGGUGAAGCCUUUGAGUUGUCCGUGUGAAUAUGGUAGAAAAAGGAUCGUCGGAUGCAUAGGUGAGAAUAGCACAACCAUCAAGUCGGCGACCGAAGCUAUGUAUCAAGGUGGAGACCGAACAUAUCCUGAAUGAAGGAGGCGACGAGGAUCAUAAGCAAGGUGGCGUAGUAGAUGACCAAGGUAGACCGGGACCACAUCCUGGAGGAGACAGCUAGGCGUCCGAGUAGUCGUACAUUUGCGGGUGGUGGAAGUGCGGGAGGAAGAACUUGGCCGAGAAGUAGACGGCGAAGGGGAGGAAAGCGACGGCGGCCAGCAUGAAGGGGCACACUCUCAUCCCGAAGAUCUUCAUCGUGCUCGGCUCCACGCGUGACGUCAGCAACGAGGGAGGAAAAAGAGAGGGGGCAACCGCACGGAACUUGAGAUUCCCGAGGGGAGACUGAUUCGGGGCUAAGCGCAGGCACCCACGGCGGAGAGGGUUCCAAAUCCGAUCAGGUUCUCGAGCUCACCGUGCACCAAGUCGAAUGCUAUACUGUGGACUCCUUCCUACGAGACUAGUCCGAUGUAAUCACAGAUGAUUUUUAAAAGUCUUGGGCGCGGAGCGGGGUCCCUCGCUGGACCGGCUAAUCUCAAUCGAGAUCGGGAGAUGUUUUCGGCCGAUAAGCGCGGAAUCGACGAACGGACGGGUGCUUGGAAUUAAUUUGAUUUGAAAUGAAAAAUUGCGUUUUGUUCGGUGACAAGAGUAAAAGAAGGGCGUAACGACACCAGGGUGUCAAACAGUUAGAAAAAACCGAAAUUGGGGACUUUUAGGGGUGUUCUAUCAAGAAAAUCGGGGACUUUUCCCCCGAAAUAGUAAGAAACAGG
Molecule: long non-coding RNA, 1213 nt
Filed under: Bemisia tabaci
Lineage: Eukaryota; Metazoa; Arthropoda; Insecta; Hemiptera; Aleyrodidae
Description: lncRNA ENSSSA3NGG001130
Source: RNAcentral